RNAcentral lists this ribosomal RNA (433 nucleotides) under uncultured bacterium. Its description in RNAcentral is "partial 16S ribosomal RNA". It matches the Rfam family "Bacterial small subunit ribosomal RNA", at positions 29 to 507 of the family's 1533-position model. The record is from RNAcentral.
AACGAACGCUGGCGGCAUGCCUAACACAUGCAAGUCGAGCGAGGACUUCGGUCCUAUCGGCGUACGGGGGUGUAACGCGUGGGAACGUGCCCUUGUCUUCGGCAUAGCCCUGGGAAACUGGUAGUAAUACCGGAUGAGCCCUUUUGGGGGAAGAUUUAUCGGCGCAGGUUCGACCCGCGUUGGAUUAGGUAGUUGUUUGGGUAAUGGCCUCCCAAGCCGACGAUCCAUAGCUGGUUUGAGAGGAUGAUCAGCCACACUGGGACUGAGACACGGCCGGGAAUCCUACGGGAUGCAGCAGUGGGGAAUCUUACAACACGGCGGAAAUCAUGAACUAGCCAGGACGCGUAAGCGAUGAAGGUCUUAGGGUUGUAAAGCUUUUGUAGCUGGGAACAUCUUGACGGUACCAGAAGAGGAAGCCCCGGCUAACUCCGUG